GACGAACGCUGGCGGCGUGCUUAACACAUGCAAGUCGAACGGUGAAGGGACCGGUUUUUGCUGGUUCUGGAUGAGUGGCGAACGGGUGAGUAACACGUGAGUAACCUGCCCCCUUCUUCUGGAUAACCGCGUGAAAGUGUGGCUAAUACGGGAUAUUCUGCGCCUGCUGCAUGGUGGGUGUGGGAAAGAUAUUGUUUCGGUGGGGGAUGGGCUCGCGGCCUAUCAGCUUGUUGGUGGGGUGAUGGCCUACCAAGGCGGUGACGGGUAGCCGGCCUGAGAGGGUGGACGGUCACACUGGGACUGAGACACGGCCCAGACUCCUACGGGAGGCAGCAGUGGGGAAUAUUGCACAAUGGGCGCAAGCCUGAUGCAGCGACGCCGCGUGAGGGAUGGAGGCCUGCGGGUCGUAAACCUCUUUCGCCAGUGAAGCAGGCCUGUCCCUUUUGUGGGUGGGUUGACGGUAGCUGGAUAAGAAGCGCCGGCUAACUACGUG
RNAcentral lists this ribosomal RNA (493 nucleotides) under uncultured bacterium. RNAcentral's name for it is "partial 16S ribosomal RNA". It matches the Rfam family "Bacterial small subunit ribosomal RNA", at positions 28 to 507 of the family's 1533-position model. The record is from RNAcentral.